Molecule: ribosomal RNA, 340 nt
Filed under: Polynoidae sp. 693 PB
Lineage: Eukaryota; Metazoa; Annelida; Polychaeta; Phyllodocida; Polynoidae
Description: partial 16S ribosomal RNA
Rfam family: Bacterial large subunit ribosomal RNA (bases 50-340)
Source: RNAcentral
AAGGAUUAACGAAAUUCUAACUCUAUUUAUUUUACUAUUUAAAAUUUAAAUUCCAGGUGAAGAUGCCUGGAUAAGCUUGAAAGACAAGAAGACCCUAUAGAGUUUUAGUGCCUACAUCCCCAUUAACCACAUCACUUUAAUUGGGGCGAUUAAGGAUUUUACUUUACAUCCUUUUUUUUUACGAUUAUUAAAUCUCUAUUAACAAUCCUUUAUUUUGAAUUUAAAAUAAACUACCUUAGGGAUAACAGGCUUAUCUUCCUAAAGAGUUCAAAUUAACAGGAAGGUUUGGCACCUCGAUGUUGGCUUAGAGUAACCUAAUAAAGCAAAAAUUAUUAUCGGU